Molecule: non-coding RNA, 5758 nt
Organism: Bactrocera oleae (olive fruit fly)
Lineage: Eukaryota; Metazoa; Arthropoda; Insecta; Diptera; Tephritidae
Source: RefSeq, a predicted model, not a curated record
UAUUAGUGUCGUUACUUGUUUAUCGACCAAUAUUCUUUCGUUUUCAUAUCUAGAUUUUAGAGCAUCCCAAGCAUUGUAUAAGCCAAUAUUCUUUCGAUUUCGAUUCUUGAUUUAAGAGCUUCCCAAGCUAAAUUGAAAUUAUUGUCAUUUAGUGCGAACUGUUUACUAUUACGCCUGCUUGACCUUUAGUUUUGUAUCGGAGGUUAUACAAUUUUUGCGCUUUUGAUGAUUAAGGAUGGUUUAUGUAAACGGCUGUAAACAUGUCCGAAAGGACGGCCGUUGUUGAAAUAUUUCUGUGUCCGACGCGGGCACCUUGAGAUGGAUACCUAAAAUUGCCUCUUGACUGUGAAUAUGUGGCAGCUCUACUCUCGGAGGAGGAGAAGGUGCAAUUGCUUUUAUUAGGUUUAAUUAAUCAUUGAUCAUAUUGGUCUUAGCAAUUUUCAUAUUUUGCGUAAGCCGAAGAUUUAAAGUUUUCUGGUCGAUUUGGGACGUUAGAUUCUACUAUGGCGUCUAUGCAGCUUAGGAACGUGUCCAAAAUCUUGAAUUUUUUUUGUUAGGUAGCGACCUGUUUUGUGCGUGUAGCUUCUGCAGAUCUCUAAUUAUCAAGAGUUAAAUAACCAAAUUAAAGAUAUUGCCAAAAAUUCAUUUGUCUUAAAACUUUUAAAAAACGACAUUCAUUAAAUAAGUCACAUCAAGUGAUGACUACAGAUCGAGUAUCGUGGUUUGCUUACGAAGACAAACAAACGCGCGAUUAAAAACCUCCAUCAUUCGUGUCGUAUGAGUGCUAUUGUCACUGAUUUAAAGGAUUAAGGAUUAAAUGUAGUAAACAAACUUAUGUGGAAAGCACGAGAGUCAUUAAACAUGUUUCUAGCUACCUUUGAUACUAAUGAAGAUGUCAAGAAAAUUUUUAAAGUUAAACAUAUUUUUCACUUCGUAGAUCUCAUUGAGCUUGUUAGAAAUUCUAAACUUAUUGUUCAAUAUAAAAAUUACCAGGCAUUUGGACAUACCAAGAAUUUCUGCUCAAAGUUGUGAAAAGUAACUCAAAAGUAAUGAACUCAAAAAACAAUAACUUGACUGAAGACCUAUUGACUUAAAUUCUAGAGAUAUAAAAUAAACAAGAAAAAUUCAUUUUCGAUCUCUGCAGUCGUUUAGAUAACCUCAAAAAUUAAAAAACAAUAAAAAUCUAUGGUAUGAAUGGUGCUCCCCGAGUAAUGAUAUGGAACGAAAAUGGAUUAUUAAAGCACCAAGAAGAACUUCAAAUUAUUUUGGAAAAAGGAAAAAUAGAUAUAUGUCUAAUAUCCGAAACUCAUUUUACGACACUCAGCCAAUUCACCCUAGUAAUUGUGCGAGGGGAGAUACUGCUGCUAUUAUUAAAAACGAUAUUGAGCAUUAUGAGGAUGGAAAAACCAGUACGCAAAAUAUUCAAAUCACAACUUUACAUUAAAAACGCGUUUAAAUUACUGCAAUAUAUUGGCCGCCGAGGUACAAAAUUCUCGUUGAUGAAUAUAAAGAACUUUUCAAUAUGCACACCCACAAAUGUAUUAUGGGUGGCGACUUUAAUGCGAAGCAUGUCUACUGGGGAUCGCGCCUAACGACAUCAAAAGGACGGGAUUUAUUCCAGGCAGCUCAGGAAACCGGAUGAAAGUAUUCCGAAAUUUCAAAAUUAUAGGUUCAAAUUACCCUAAAGACUUUAGCCGUCCCAGGCUUUCGGGGAUAAAAUGGGUAAUACAGGAAUCCAAAACCUAGAAACAUAAAAUAUUAGAGAGCAUUGAUGGUAAGGAUUAUGUUAUACCUUCUAUGACAAUGUUACUUUUUCUUGUAGAACUCAAAAAAAAACCCUGGUCGAUCCAAUAUCGUGGUGUACCAAGGUUUUUUUGCGCAGAACUUUUUUUUGCGUUGGCGGCCUUUGGCUGCCCUUCAAAAAAUAACCCUGGUCGGUGCAACACCGACUUUUACCAAGGUUUUUUUGCGUAGAAUUUCUAUUUGCGUGAAUAGUAGGCUAUAUCUAUACAUAUUCUUGAUCUGAGGACCUCCUCUAUCCGCCCAUAUUCUGGGACGGUAUUCUAAAGCCGAUCUAAAAGUUCUCCCAACCUGGAAAAGAAAAUUACGACAGGAACGGCAACAAACACGCUCACCACUUGACAAAAUCAAUUUUAAUAGAGCAACAGCUGAAUUAAAACAAGAAAUUACUCAUAUUAAGAAUGAGUCAAUACACAAAUCCUUAUCUCAACUAUCGGCUAACAAAAAAGAUGAUUACUCGCUCUGGAAAAUUACCAAAUAUCUUAAACGUCCAACAUGCCAGGUUGCGCCAUAAAAAAUUAGCAGUAAUAAAUGGGCUAGAAGUGAUUGUGAUAAACCAAAUGCAUUCGUAACACACCGAGCUGAAAAUUUUCUUUCAAAUGAGAGUAGUGAAAAUGCGUUCCUCAAUAAUGUUCAACCAGAUCAUGCAACAAUUACAGAAAUCUCAAUUUGUUAGCUCAAAAAUUCAAUCUAAUAACAGCUGAAGUUUUAAAGCAGUUACCACCAAAAGUUUAUUAAAUCUCACGUAUAUUUUCAAUACAUACGUCUGACACAUUUUCCAAGUCCCUGGAAACUUGCUGACGUUGUAAUGUUUCCUAAACUAAAUUGUAUCAAAAAAUGUAUAGAAUAUUUGUGUAACGGUUUGUAAAAUCUAUGUAUUUCGUGCAACAAGUUGAUUAUUUUGACAUAUAUUGAUAAUAUAAUUACUAUUCAUGAAGUGCACCUUAUUUUAUGUGUGAAACAAGAGAAUGAAUUCUCCAAAAUAAAAGAGAUUGACGCAGGCGUACCACAGGGAACUAUUUUAGGACAAUUUUGUAUAUUAUUUGUACUAGAGACUUACUGUUAGCACCAAACAGUAUGACUGUCACUUAAUCGGAAAUUGUCAAAAAUGGAAUGGCUGUCAUAAUCAGAGCUGGCGUUUCGCUGACAGCUUUCCAUGUAAUAGAGGACUAACACAUAAGUGCUGUCAAAAUUUACAAAAUGAAACUACCGUCAAGUGUAGUUUUCAGAGUUUAUCUUAUAUUUGAAAACCAGGGGCAAUGGUAAAAAAAACGUCUUCAGAGUCUUCUAUACACUCUGUACACGUUGGACAGUACGGACUAUAUUCAUGACGAAAUUUGUAAAGGUUGCUUCUAAAGCACCCAUAUGCACUUAGUAUUUGGGUCAGGUGGGAAUCCACCUAUCUAUCCACGGUAUGAUGUCUGGUAUAACACUGUGUGUCCACCGUCCUUUGGAUGAGGUUUGCCACCGUUGCUGCCACAUUGUGAUGCUUUUGCAUUUUUCCUCUCUUUUUGCGUCGUGGGCGUAAUCGGACCACUGCCACGCCCACAAAACGCCAUUAAUCAAAAACAAAUAACUUGCCAUAACUAAGCUCCGCAAUAAGAUACAAGACUGUUAUUUGGUACACAGGAUCACAUUAGGGAGGGGCAUCUGCAGUUAAAACUUUUUUUAAAAGUGGGCGUGGUCCCGCCUCUAAUAGGUUUAAUGUGCAUAUCUCCUAAACCGCUAAUGCUAUAAUAACAAAAUUCACUGGAAGCAAAUGCUUUUAGCACUUCUAUUGACGGUGUGAAAAUAGUUGAAAUCGGGUGGCAACUCCGCCCACUCCCCAUAUAACGGUACUGUUAAAAACUACUAAAAGCGCGAUAAAUCAAGCACAAAACACGCCAGAGACAUUAAAUUUUAUCUCUGAGAUGGUAUAAGAUGACUUUAUAGGAACCGCGUUCAAAAUUAGACAGUGGGCGUGGCACAGCCCACUUUUAGGUGAAAACCCAUAUGUUGAGAUCUGCUUAACCGAUUUCAACCAAAUUCGGUGCGUAACGUUCUUUUCAUGUUUCUAUGUCAUAGUGCGAAAAUGGGCGAAAUCGGAUUACAACCACGCCUAUUUUCCAUAUGACACCAUUUUAAAUACCACUUGAUUCUUUCACUUUCCACUAUGCAAAUCAAGCAACAAUGAUUAUAUCGGCGUAAAACUUUGCGUGAAUAAUGCAAUUAAAGUAUGCCACCUUGCGGCCAAAAAUUGUCUAAAUCGAAACAAAACUGUUCAAACCCCUAAGUAUUAAAUAUGUGGACCCCAGUGCCUAUAGUUGACCUUCUACCGAAAAUAUCAGUCAAUCCACAAAGAAAUCUCAAACGAGUAUACCAUUUGACUUUGCGAGAGUAUAAAAUGUUCGGUUACAUCCGAACUUAGCCCUUCCUUACUUGUUUUUCUUUAUUUUUCCUGGAGCUAAUGAGCAAGACUUCUUUUUGCUCAGCCAACUCUAAGCUCAUGGUAGCAAACCAUCGUCGUAGACCAUUUCUGCAAUCAUUGCAUUUGAUCCGGAAGUCAUCUAGAUGUUUCGUCACUGCUACCACUAUGAGAUCAUCCAUAUAGGCGAUUAGUUUCACGGAAUGUUGUUGCUGUAUUCUUAGCACUCUAUCAGGUUUCAUGGAAGGGGGCCGAAAACCGAACCUUGCGGUACAUUACUCGUAAUAGAGUAACUCUGGGAACCUUCACCUGUGUCGUAUCGCAAUAUCCUGUUGUCAAAAUAACUCAUAAUAAUAUUUAUGAGGUAUUGGGUGUAGGUAUUUCGUACAGGGCCUUUGCUGAUAUUUGCCCAUUUCGCAGAGUUAAAUGCAUUCUACACAUUCAGGGUAAUUAGCGCGCACUAUUUGUUUGUGCCACCUUUCUAUCUUUUGCCACUUAUGGAACAUUUAGCAAUAUCACUUCACUUUGUGCGUCAAUAGUAGAUUUUAUAUUUUAUAAAGCCGUUUUGUCUCUCUAAUAAACUGCCGGCUUUUUGGAUUGCUACCUCCAGCGGUUUCUUACUAUGCUUUCGUACACUUUACCAAAUGCGUCGAGAGUCCACAGAGGUCGAUAUGAUGAAGGGUCUUCAGGUGGCUUUUUCGGUUUUUUGGGAGUAGAACCAAACGCUGCACCUUCCAUGGGUCAGGGAACAUGUCUUCCAAUAUACACGCAUUGUACAUUUUAACGAACAAACUGGGUCUCAGAGUCAUCGCUUCUUUUAGACCUCUAUUUGGUAUACCAUCUAUUCCAGGCGCUUUGGAGUUUUUGACCACAGCAGGAAAUUCACUAUCCCAUGAAAAAAUAGCUGUAAGAGAAGGAUUUUUAUUAUAUGAUUAUUUACAAAAUUAUGGUUUCCCUUUUUACGAAAUGUACACUGUGAUUUUAACCUUUGGUAAAAGGAAAAAUUCCCUUCUAUUAUUUUAUAAUUUACAAAAUUAUGGUUUCUCCUUUUACGAAAUGUGCACUAUUAGUGAUUUUAACCUUUCGUAAAAGGAAAAGUCUUUGACAAUUCAAUCUUAAUAUUAAAAACAGUUCUGCGUAUUCUGCAUAAAAAUGAAUAUAGAAAAAUUGAAACAAAAAGAAUAAUCGUAUAAACGCAAGGAAGAUCUUACUAAAUAAAAGCGAUACUAUAAACUUUUCUCAUGUUCCUGGAUUUAUAAUUGAUUAUUUUUUUGGAAAAAAAGUUAAAAGGCGCAAUUAAUAGUUUGUGUUUUUGCUUUCGUUAAUGGAAUCAGCGAGUCGCAACUCUUUCAACUAAUACGAUGGAUACCGUUCACAAAAAAAUAUCAGAUUUACUCUUAUGGCUUGAAAAUUCUCCAAACGCUCACAAGUACUAUAGCUAUAAUGUUAUACUUAAUCAAAUAGUUUUUUGUAACGGAGACUUACGAAAAUAUGGAGAAAAAAAGCAAAGAAACUAAAUAAAAUUUGAAAAGUAUUAUAUUUUUACGUUGCUAA